AUGAUAAAUCUUGGCUUAUUGAAUAUCAGGUCCCUUUCUACGAAAGCACUUUUUGUAAAUAAUAUGAUCACUGAUCAUAAUCUAGAUGUGCUCUGUUUGACAGAAACCUGGCUAAAACCUGAUGAUUACAUUAUUUUAAAUGAGUCUACACCCCAAGAUUACUGUUAUAAACAUGAGCCACGUCCAAAAGGUAAAGGGGGAGGUGUUGCUUCAGUUUAUAACAAUGAUUUCAGGAUUUCUCAGAGGGCAGGCUUCAAGUAUAACUCGUUUGAAGUAAUGGUGCUUCAUAUAACAUUAUCCAGAGAAACAAAUGUUAAUGAUAAAUCCCCUGUGAUGUUUGUACUGGCUACUGUAUACAGGCCACCAGGGCACCAUACAGACUUUAUUAAAGAGUUUGCUGAUUUUACAUCCGAGUUAGUGCUGGCUGCAGAUAAAGUUUUAAUUGUUGGUGAUUUUAAUAUCCAUGUUGAUAAUGAAAAAGAUGCAUUGGGAUCAGCAUUUAUAGACAUUCUGAACUCUAUUGGGGUUAGACAACACGUCUCAGGACCUACUCAUUGUCGAAAUCAUACUCUAGAUUUAAUACUGUCACAUGGAAUUGAUGUUGAUGGUGUUGAAAUUAUGCAGCCAAGCGAUGAUAUCUCAGAUCAUUAUUUAGUUUUGUGCAAACUUCAUAUAGCUAAAACUGUAAAUUCCACUUCUUGUUACAAGUAUGGUAGAACCAUCACUUCUACCACAAAAGACUGCUUUGUAAGUAAUCUUCCUGAUGUAUCCCAAUUCCUUAGCAUAUCCAAAACCUCAGAACAACUUGAUGAUGUAACAGAAACUAUGGACUCUCUCUUUUCUAGCAUUUUAAAUACAGUUGCUCCUUUACGCUUAAGGAAGGUUAAGGAAAACAGUCUGACACCGUGGUGUAAUGAGCACACUCGCACCCUAAAGAGAGCAGCCCGGAAAAUGGAGCGCAGCUGGAGGAAAACAAAACUAGAAGUAUUUCGUAUUGCUUGGAGGGAAAGUAACCUAUCUUACAGAAAAGCAUUAAAAACUGCUAAAUCUGAUUACUUUUCGUCUCUUUUAGAAGAAAACAAACAUAACCCCAGGUAUUUAUUCAAUACAGUGGCUAAAUUAACGCUAAUUGCUCUCUUUUGUAAUAUACUUAUCGAUUUUAAAUUGGUUUUGUAG
Molecule: long non-coding RNA, 1176 nt
Organism: Cyprinus carpio (common carp)
Lineage: Eukaryota; Metazoa; Chordata; Actinopteri; Cypriniformes; Cyprinidae
Source: Ensembl